CACCAGGUCAGGACACGGUAAGGAUUGACGGACUGAAGGCUCUUUCUCGAUUCCGUGGAAAGUGGUGCAUGGCCGUUUUUGGUUGGUGGAUCGAUCCGUCUGGUUAAUUCCGUUAACGAACGAGACCUCGGCACUCCGAAUAGCGCGGCGGACGUCGCGGCCUCCGGGGCCGUCUUCCGCACGAGCUUCUUAGAGGGGACCGUCCCCCGCCGGGGAAGGAGGUGCGAGGCAACGACAGGUCUGUGAUGCCCUUAGAUGUUCUGGGGCCGCACGCGCAUUACACUGACGCGUCCAACGGGUGACUCCCGACCCGAAGGGGCCGGGGAAUCCGCAAGGCGCGUCGUGAUGGGGGAUUGAACGUUGCAAUUGUUGUUCACGAACGAGGAAUUCCUAGUAGGCGCGGGUC
This 406-nucleotide ribosomal RNA is filed under the name uncultured eukaryote. Its description in RNAcentral is "bacterial SSU rRNA". It matches the Rfam family "Eukaryotic small subunit ribosomal RNA", at positions 1216 to 1629 of the family's 1831-position model. The record is from RNAcentral.